This 103-nucleotide transfer RNA is filed under the name Gammaproteobacteria bacterium. RNAcentral describes it as "tRNA-Ala". It matches the Rfam family "tRNA". From Rfam's summary of the family: Transfer RNA (tRNA) molecules are approximately 80 nucleotides in length. Lineage: Bacteria; Pseudomonadati; Pseudomonadota; Gammaproteobacteria. The record is from RNAcentral.
GCCUCAGUCGCGGAAUUGGUAGACGCAGGGGACUGGCACUCCCCGGGAACGUUGCAGUCAGAAGCCGCAUGCCGUGCGGGUUCGACUCCCGCCUAGGGCACCA